RNAcentral lists this ribosomal RNA (396 nucleotides) under uncultured bacterium. RNAcentral's name for it is "partial 16S ribosomal RNA". It matches the Rfam family "Bacterial small subunit ribosomal RNA", at positions 523 to 918 of the family's 1533-position model. The record is from RNAcentral.
AUACAGAGGGUGCAAGCGUUAAUCGGAUUUACUGGGCGUAAAGCGCGCGUAGGUGGCUAAUUAAGUCAAAUGUGAAAUCCCCGAGCUUAACUUGGGAAUUGCAUUCGAUACUGGUUAGCUAGAGUAUGGGAGAGGAUGGUAGAAUUCCAGGUGUAGCGGUGAAAUGCGUAGAGAUCUGGAGGAAUACCGAUGGCGAAGGCAGCCAUCUGGCCUAAUACUGACACUGAGGUGCGAAAGCAUGGGGAGCAAACAGGAUUAGAUCCCCUGGUAGUCCAUGCCGUAAACGAUGUCUACUAGCCGUUGGGGCCCUUGAGGCUUUAGUGGCGCAGCUAACGCGAUAAGUAGACCGCCUGGGGAGUACGGUCGCAAGACUAAAACUCAAAUGAAUUGGCGGGG